This 158-nucleotide unclassified non-coding RNA is filed under the name uncultured Ascomycota. RNAcentral describes it as "sequence contains ITS2". Lineage: Eukaryota; Fungi; Ascomycota. The record is from RNAcentral.
CACCACUCAAGCCUCGCUUGGUAUUGGGGCACUGCUCUCGCCCGAGAGCAGGCCCUGAAAUCUAGUGGCGAGCUCGCCAGGACCCCGAGCGCAGUAGUUAAACCCUCGCUCUGGAAGGCCCUGGCGGUGCCCUGCCGUUAAACCCCCAACUCUUGAAA